This 429-nucleotide ribosomal RNA is filed under the name Gemmatimonadota bacterium. RNAcentral describes it as "Gemmatimonadetes bacterium partial 16S ribosomal RNA". It matches the Rfam family "Bacterial small subunit ribosomal RNA", at positions 355 to 776 of the family's 1533-position model. Lineage: Bacteria; Pseudomonadati; Gemmatimonadota. The record is from RNAcentral.
UAUGGAAUCUUCGGCAAUGGACGAAAGUCUGACCGAGCAACGCCGCGCGAGUGAAGAAGGUUCUCGGAUCGUAAAACUCUGUUGUUAGAGAAGAACAAGGACGUUAGUAACUGAACGUCCCCUGACGGUAUCUAAUCAGAAAGCCACGGCUAACUACGUGCCAGCAGCCGCGGUAAUACGUAGGUGGCAAGCGUUGUCCGGAUUUAUUGGGCGUAAAGCGAGCGCAGGCGGUUUCUUAAGUCUGAUGUGAAAGCCCCCGGCUCAACCGGGGAGGGUCAUUGGAAACUGGUGGACUUGAGUGCAGAAGAGGAGAGUGGAUUUCCGUGUGUAACGGUGAAAUGCGUAGAUAUAUAGAGCAACACCAGUGGCGAAGGCGGCUCACUAGUCUGUAACUGACGCUGAGGCUCGAAAGCGUGGGGAGCAAACAGG